GAUAUCCUGCGGGGGGCAGCAGUGGGGAAUAUUGCACAAUGGGGGAAACCCUGAUGCAGCAACGCCGCGUGAGUGAAGAAGUAUUUCGGUAUGUAAAGCUCUAUCAGCAGGGAAGAAGGAAGACGGUACCUGACUAAGAAGCCCCGGCUAACUACGUGCCAGCAGCCGCGGUAAUACGUAGGGGGCAAGCGUUAUCCGGAUUUACUGGGUGUAAAGGGAGCGUAGACGGCAGCGCAAGUCUGAAGUGAAAUCCCAUGGCUUAACCAUGGAACUGCUUUGGAAACUGUGCAGCUGGAGUGCAGGAG
This 305-nucleotide ribosomal RNA is filed under the name uncultured bacterium. Its description in RNAcentral is "bacterial SSU rRNA". It matches the Rfam family "Bacterial small subunit ribosomal RNA", at positions 333 to 654 of the family's 1533-position model. The record is from RNAcentral.